This 253-nucleotide ribosomal RNA is filed under the name uncultured bacterium. RNAcentral describes it as "partial 16S ribosomal RNA". It matches the Rfam family "Bacterial small subunit ribosomal RNA", at positions 524 to 776 of the family's 1533-position model. The record is from RNAcentral.
UACGUAGGGUGCAAGCGUUAAUCGGAAUUACUGGGCGUAAAGCGUGCGCAGGCGGUUAUGUAAGACAGAUGUGAAAUGCCCGGGCUUAACCUGGGAACUGCAUUUGUGACUGCAUGGCUAGAGUUUGGCAGAGGGGGGUAGAAUUCCACGUGUAGCAGUGAAAUGCGUAGAUAUCUGGAGGAACACCGGUGGCGAAGGCGGCAUUCUGGACCAAUACUGACGCUGAGGAGCGAAAGCCAGGGGAGCAAACGGG